GACAGAGGGUGCAAACGUUGCUCGGAAUCACUGGGCGUAAAGCGCGUGUAGGCGGCUUUGCAAGUCGGGUGUGAAAGCCCUCAGCUCAACUGAGGAAGUGCGCCCGAAACUGCAGAGCUUGAGUGCCGGAGAGGGUGGCGGAAUUCCCCAAGUAGAGGUGAAAUUCGUAGAUAUGGGGGAGGAACACCGGUGGCGAAGGCGGCCACCUGGACGGUAACUGACGCUGAGACGCGAAAGCGUGGGGAGCAAACAGG
Molecule: ribosomal RNA, 254 nt
Filed under: uncultured bacterium
Lineage: Bacteria
Description: partial 16S ribosomal RNA
Rfam family: Bacterial small subunit ribosomal RNA
Source: RNAcentral